This 251-nucleotide ribosomal RNA is filed under the name uncultured prokaryote. RNAcentral describes it as "partial 16S rRNA". It matches the Rfam family "Bacterial small subunit ribosomal RNA", at positions 525 to 775 of the family's 1533-position model. The record is from RNAcentral.
ACGGGGGGUGCGAGCGUUGUUCGGAAUUAUUGGGCGUAAAGAGCGUGUAGGCGGCUGAAUAAGUCAGAUGUGAAAUCCCUGGGCUUAACCCAGGACGUGCAUUUGAAACUAUGUGCCUAGAAUGGGGGAGAGGUAGAUGGAAUUUCUGGUGUAGGGGUGAAAUCCGUAGAGAUCAGGAGGAAUACCGAUGGCGAAGGCGAUCUACUGGAACAUUAUUGACGCUGAGACGCGAAAGCGUGGGGAGCAAACAG